GCGGAUGUGGUGGAAUGGUAGACACGCUACUUUGAGGGGGUAGUGGGCGUUUUUGCCUGUGUGGGUUCGAGUCUCACCAUCCGCA
RNAcentral lists this transfer RNA (85 nucleotides) under Rikenellaceae bacterium. RNAcentral describes it as "tRNA-Leu". It matches the Rfam family "tRNA". Rfam says of the family: Transfer RNA (tRNA) molecules are approximately 80 nucleotides in length. Their secondary structure includes four short double-helical elements and three loops (D, anti-codon, and T loops). Further hydrogen bonds mediate the characteristic L-shaped molecular structure. tRNAs have two regions of fundamental functional importance: the anti-codon, which is responsible for specific mRNA codon recognition, and the 3' end, to which the tRNAs corresponding amino acid is attached (by aminoacyl-tRNA synthetases). tRNAs cope with the degeneracy of the genetic code in two manners: having more than one tRNA (with a specific anti-codon) for a particular amino acid; and 'wobble' base-pairing, i.e. permitting non-standard base-pairing at the 3rd anti-codon position. Lineage: Bacteria; Pseudomonadati; Bacteroidota; Bacteroidia; Bacteroidales; Rikenellaceae. RNAcentral also lists the same sequence under 1 other name. The record is from RNAcentral.